This 21-nucleotide non-coding RNA is filed under the name Caenorhabditis elegans. Lineage: Eukaryota; Metazoa; Nematoda; Chromadorea; Rhabditida; Rhabditidae. The record is from RNAcentral.
UUCUUCGUCUCUAGUUUCUUC